AGAGGAGCUUGCUUUUCUUGAUUUAGUGGCGAACGGGUGAGUAACGCGUGAGUAACCUGCCCUGGAGUGGGGGACAACAGUUGGAAACGACUGCUAAUACCGCAUAAGCCCACGGUACCGCAUGGUACUGAGGAAAAAGGAUUUAUUCGCUCUAGGAUGGACUCGCGUCCAAUUAGCUAGUUGGUGAGGUAACGGCCCACCAAGGCGACGAUUGGUAGCCGGACUGAGAGGUUGAACGGCCACAUUGGGACUGAGACACGGCCCAGACUCCUACGGGAGGCAGCAGUGGGGGAUAUUGCACAAUGGGGGAAACCCUGAUGCAGCGACGCCGCGUGGAGGAAGAAGGUUUUCGGAUUGUAAACUCCUGUCGUUAGGGACGAUAAUGACGGUACCUAACAAGAAAGCACCGGCUAACUACGUGCCAGCAGCCGCGGUAAAACGUAGGGUGCAAGCGUUGUCCGGAAUUACUGGGUGUAAAGGGAGCGCAGGCGGACCGGCAAGUUGGAAGUGAAAUCCAUGGGCUCAACCCGUGAAUUGCUUUCAAAACUGCUGGCCUUGAGUAGUGCAGAGGUAGG
Molecule: ribosomal RNA, 575 nt
Filed under: uncultured bacterium
Lineage: Bacteria
Description: bacterial SSU rRNA
Rfam family: Bacterial small subunit ribosomal RNA
Source: RNAcentral